This 497-nucleotide ribosomal RNA is filed under the name uncultured bacterium. Its description in RNAcentral is "partial 16S ribosomal RNA". It matches the Rfam family "Bacterial small subunit ribosomal RNA", at positions 28 to 507 of the family's 1533-position model. The record is from RNAcentral.
GAUGAACGCUGGCGGCGUGCCUAAUACAUGCAAGUCGAGCGAACGGACGAGAAGCUUGCUUUUCUGAUGUUAGCGGCGGACGGGUGGGUAACACGUGGAUAACCUACCUAUAAGACUGGGAUAACUUCGGGAAACCGGAGCUAAUACCGGAUAAUAUUUUGAACCGCAUGGUUCAAAAGUGAAAGACGGUCUUGCUGUCACUUAUAGAUGGAUCCGCGCUGCAUUAGCUAGUUGGUAAGGUAACGGCUUACCAAGGCAACGAUGCAUAGCCGACCUGAGAGGGUGGUCGGCCACACUGGAACUGAGACACGGUCCAGACUCCUAUGGGAGGCAGCAGUAGGGAAUCUUCCGCAAUGGGCGAAAGCCUGACGGAGCAACGCCGCGUGAGUGAUGAAGGUCUUCGGAUCGUAAAACUCUGUUAUUAGGGAAGAACAUAUGUGUAAGUAACUGUGCACAUCUUGACGGUACCUAAUCAGAAAGCCACGGCUAACUACGUG